Molecule: ribosomal RNA, 495 nt
Filed under: uncultured bacterium
Lineage: Bacteria
Description: partial 16S ribosomal RNA
Rfam family: Bacterial small subunit ribosomal RNA
Source: RNAcentral
GACGAACGCUGGCGGCGUGCCUAAUACAUGCAAGUAGAACGCUGAAGGAGGAGCUUGCUUCUCCGGAUGAGUUGCGAACGGGUGAGUAACGCGUAGGUAACCUGCCUGGUAGCGGGGGAUAACUAUUGGAAACGAUAGCUAAUACCGCAUAAGAGUAGAUGUCGCAUGACAUUUGCUUAAAAGGUGCAACUGCACCACUACCAGAUGGACCUGCGUUGUAUUAGCUAGUUGGUGAGGUAACGGCUCACCAAGGCAGCGAUACAUAGCCGACCUGAGAGGGUGAUCGGCCACACUGGGACUGAGACACGGCCCAGACUCCUACGGGAGGCAGCAGUAGGGAAUCUUCGGCAAUGGACGGAAGUCUGACCGAGCAACGCCGCGUGAGUGAAGAAGGUUUUCGGAUCGUAAAGCUCUGUUGUAAGAGAAGAACGAGUGUGAGAGUGGAAAGUUCACACUGUGACGGUAUCUUACCAGAAAGGGACGGCUAACUACGUG